AUGGAUAUACAUGAAGGAGGUGUAAUUCGCAAUUGUGUGAUCAAGCUGAGGGAGGAUUGUAAAAAGAGAAGGGACAAGGUUUAUGUUGGCUGUGGAGCCGGUUUUGGAGGUGACAGGCCUUUGGCUGCUCUUAAGUUGCUGCAGAGAGUCAAAGAGCUCAACUAUAUCGUGCUUGAAUGCCUUGCGGAGCGCACCCUUGCUGAACGUUACCAAGUUAUGGUUUCGGGUGGUGAUGGUUACGAUUCAAGGAUUUCAGACUGGAUGCGGUUGCUCCUACCUUUGGCUGUUGAGAGAGGAACUUGCAUAAUCACCAACAUGGGUGCAAUGGAUCCGCCUGGAGCACAGGAAAAGGUUAUUGAAAUAGCCACCAGCUUGGGGCUUAGUGUUUCUGUUGCUGUGGCUCAUGAGAUUUCCCUCUCAAAUAUAGGUUCAGCCUCUCAUGAGAAGUCAUAUUUGAUGGAAGGUGGUAUUAGCACCUAUCUGGGAGCGGCUCCGAUUGUUGAAUGUUUGGAAAAGUAUCAACCAAAUGUAAUUAUAACUUCACGAGUUGCAGAUGCUGCCUUAUUUUUAGCACCAAUGAUCUACGAACUUGGUUGGAACUGGGACAACUUGGAACAGCUAGCACAGGGGUCUCUGGCUGGCCAUCUUCUAGAGUGUGGUUGUCAACUCACGGGAGGAUACUUCAUGCACCCAGGAGACAAGUCUAGAGACAUGUCUUUAACUCAGCUCCUGGACUUGUCACUUCCUUAUGCUGAAAUCAGCUCUGAUGGAAAAGUAUGUGUAGCAAAGGCAGAGGGUAGUGGUGGAGUUUUGAACUUCAGUACAUGUGCUCAACAACUUCUUUAUGAGAUUGGGGAUCCGGGUGCUUAUGUAACUCCUGAUGUGAUAAUUGAUAUCCGGGAUGUUUCAUUCUAUCCAUUGUCAAGUUGUAAGGUCCUCUGUGCUGGAGCAAAACCAUCUGCAGUAUCAGUUCCUGACAAACUCCUGCGGUUGGUUCCAAAGGACUACGGUUGGAAAGGAUGGGGUGAAAUAUCAUAUGGAGGGUAUGAAUGUGUACAACGUGCCAAGGCUGCUGAGUUUCUGGUGAGAUCAUGGAUGGAAGAAGUAAUUCCUGAUGUUAGCGGCCAUGUAAUUUCUUAUAUAGUUGGGCUUGAUAGCCUGAAGGCAACUGGUCUUAGUGACAGUGCUUUGUGCCGGAUGGUUAGUGAUAUUAGAUUACGCAUGGAUGGGUUACUUCAAGCUAAAGGAGCACGCAGUCCAAUUUACUACAGAUUUUACUGCUUUAUAUACAAAUGGACCAGCUGGUGGUGGUGGUAUCAGCACUGGACACAAGAAAGAAAUCAUCCUUGAAAAAUAUUUGGUCAAGCGUGAACACGUAUUCUGGCAGACUGCAGUAAAGCACACCAGAGUGAUGAAAUCAAACAAAACAGGAAUUGGAUUUCCAGAUGGGAUAAAAACUAGUCCUCAUGUGUCUGUAUUCCCGUUUUCUGAGGCAAGUGAAGUUGAUUCUUCUACUGAUGUUCCAUUUUCUGGAAGAAACUCUCCUGCUCCAUCUGGCCAGAAAAUUCCACUCUAUGAUGUAGCAGAUAGCCGAGCUGGAGACAAAGGAAAUGACUUGAACUUUUCUAUCAUCCCACAUUUUCCUCCAGAUGUAGAGAGGUUGAAGAGGAUCAUAACACCGAAGUGGGUAAAGAAAGUAGUGUCAACUCUUUUAAAUUCUUCUUCUUUUCCAGAUACAGAAGCCAUCAAUGAAAGAGACAAAUGGGUCGACGAAAAUGUAAAGGUGGAAAUAUAUGAAGUGAAGGGAAUCCGAUCUUUGAAUGUAGUGGUUAGGGACAUUCUUGAUGGUGGUGUUAACUGCUCUAGAAGAAUUGACCGGCAUGGAAAGACCAUCUCCGAUCUCAUACUGUGUCAGCAAGUUGUAUUGCCUCCAUGGUUGGGUCGUUCAAGAACUCUAAUAGUUUGAUUUUCUCUAAUGGGGUUAGUUCUGCCUUACUCACCUGUAUAGCCAAUGUGCCUAUCUUUUACCAUGCGUAUAAGUCGGUUCUUCCUUUUUUUACUUUUAGUUGGGAACUCUUAUAGUUUGUAUUCUCAGAAUUCUUGGUUGCAAUUAUUUCGUGUUGUUGUGCUCAACUUAAUCUGCUUUGGUAUUAUACUUAUCACAGUAAGUUUUAUUGUGUAUAAAAAGAAAACUUAUGAAU
Molecule: RNA transcript, 2201 nt
Organism: Fragaria vesca subsp. vesca
Lineage: Eukaryota; Viridiplantae; Streptophyta; Magnoliopsida; Rosales; Rosaceae
Exons: 13
Source: RefSeq, a predicted model, not a curated record